This 934-nucleotide unclassified non-coding RNA is filed under the name Hevea brasiliensis (rubber tree). Lineage: Eukaryota; Viridiplantae; Streptophyta; Magnoliopsida; Malpighiales; Euphorbiaceae. The record is from RNAcentral.
GGCAAAUUGAUGGUCCGAUCAGAAGUAUAUAAAAUUCAGGCUCAUGUUUGACAUCUAAUUAUACAAUCAAUGUGGUAGCACAUUGACACAAGACAACUUGUAACACAAAUUAGAAUUUACUCUGUUACUGGGAAACAUUCGGCUUGCGACUUUUUCAACAAUACCCAAAAUCGUUCGUCUAAAAUAUGAAAAAUGGAGCAAAAUGAUGCAGAAGUUACAUAAGUUAGUCAUAUUCUGCAGUUGUGGAGUUCAGCCCUUCUGAAUGUAAUUUACCCUAUGAAACUUGAUGCAUGUCUUCCUUUUUGUUGGGCCGAGUACAGAUGAACAAGCAUCAGCACUAUGCAGUAACUGCAUCAAGGGUGAUUAACCAAACUUCCCGAGUUCCACUUUCUUCUUUAUGGCCUUUUGACUAUGAUAAAUACAUGCAUCUAAUAUUCCAGCAACUGUGAAAACACCUCCUAUAAUUGCACAAACAUUGGUGAGGAAAUGAAAGAAUGACACAUGCUCCUCUGUGAAAGUCACCUUGAUAGGAGAGAGAUCAUAAAAGAAGUAAACUCCAGUAAUUGAUUGGAAAAGACCCAAAUCUGAACCCUUGAAAUGCUCAGUCACUGAGAACUGAUUUGAAUCAAUAGUACGGCCUCUAACACCUUUAAAUAUUGUAGGGACCACUUUGAUAAAGUACUGAUACAUUCCAUUCUGUGCUUCCUGCGUCCAUUGAACCCCAUCAAGUGGAUUUACAACUCCGGGAAUAGAGUCGCCAAAAGCUAACUUAUUUACCCUGUGACUUAUAUUAUAAGUAUCCGAUUGUAAGGAAAUCAAUUCGAAGAGUUGAAAGGUUGACUGGUGAAAGCUUUUGCCAGCAGCAAAGUGAAAAUUUCCAGCCACUUUAUUGACCUCUAGAGAUCCAUGAAUGUUACAUCCUUCACCUUCUUCA